This 291-nucleotide long non-coding RNA is filed under the name Elaeis guineensis (African oil palm). RNAcentral describes it as "long non-coding RNA (EGUI_LNC049651)". Lineage: Eukaryota; Viridiplantae; Streptophyta; Magnoliopsida; Arecales; Arecaceae. The record is from RNAcentral.
AGGCUCUAUUGACCUCACCCUAAUCAACACUUGUCUCGGUUCGAUCAACUGCAAAAUUGAUUUAGACCCAAUAUGAUCAAAUCAAAAACUUUUUGAUAUAAUCCAAUUACAUGACCUAAUUUGAUCUACCCAUGACCAAUCCCUCAUGCACAAACACUAAUUUCAAAUCUUAAAUCAAAAUUUUUAGAUCUAAAUUUUUUGCAUGAAGAGUAAAUUUUGAUCUUGAAAUAAUUUCAGAUCAUGUAUAUAAAUAUGUAUCACAUACAUAAACAAGUUCAGGUCAUAGAAACA